RNAcentral lists this ribosomal RNA (372 nucleotides) under uncultured bacterium. Its description in RNAcentral is "bacterial SSU rRNA". It matches the Rfam family "Bacterial small subunit ribosomal RNA", at positions 28 to 402 of the family's 1533-position model. The record is from RNAcentral.
GACGAACGCUAGCGGCGUGCUUAACACAUGCAAGUCGAGCGGUAAGGCCCUUUCGGGGGUACACGAGCGGCGAACGGGUGAGUAACACGUGGGUGACCUGCCCUUAGCUCUGGGAUAAGCCUGGGAAACUGGGUCUAAUACCGGAUAUGACUCCAUGACGCAUGUUGUGGGGUGGAAAGCCUUGUGCGGCUAGGGAUGGGCCCGCGGCCUAUCAGCUUGUUGGUGGGGUGAUGGCCACCAAGGCGACGACGGGUAGCCGGCCUGAGAGGGCGACCGGCCACACUGGGACUGAGACACGGCCCAGACUCCUACGGGAGGCAGCAGUGGGGAAUCUUGCGCAAUGGGCGAAAGCCUGACGCAGCGACGCCGCGU